RNAcentral lists this transfer RNA (67 nucleotides) under Marmota monax (woodchuck). RNAcentral's name for it is "tRNA.Ala". The record is from RNAcentral. Lineage: Eukaryota; Metazoa; Chordata; Mammalia; Rodentia; Sciuridae.
GUUGUGGCUCAGCGGUAGAGCACUCGUCUCGCACGAGCGGGACCCUGGGUUCGAUCCUCAGCACACA